UACGAAGGGGGCUAGCGUUGUUCGGAAUUACUGGGCGUAAAGAGCGUGUAGGCGGCCAGGUAGGUCGGUUGUGAAAACUGGAGGCUCAACCUUCAGACGUCGACCGAAACCAUCUGGCUAGAGUCCGGGAGAGGAGAGUGGAAUUCCUGGUGUAGCGGUGAAAUGCGCAGAUAUCAGGAAGAACACCCGUGGCGAAAGCGGCUCUCUGGAACGGUACUGACGCUGAGACGCGAAAGCGUGGGGAGCGAACAGG
RNAcentral lists this ribosomal RNA (253 nucleotides) under uncultured bacterium. Its description in RNAcentral is "partial 16S ribosomal RNA". It matches the Rfam family "Bacterial small subunit ribosomal RNA", at positions 524 to 776 of the family's 1533-position model. The record is from RNAcentral.